AAGGGUAUGGCUCGGUGGUAGAGCAUGUGCUUAACAUGCACAAGGUAUCCUGGGUUCAAUCCCCAGUGCCUCCA
RNAcentral lists this transfer RNA (74 nucleotides) under Camelus dromedarius (Arabian camel). It matches the Rfam family "tRNA". From Rfam's summary of the family: Transfer RNA (tRNA) molecules are approximately 80 nucleotides in length. The record is from Rfam by way of RNAcentral. RNAcentral also lists the same sequence under 1 other name. Lineage: Eukaryota; Metazoa; Chordata; Mammalia; Artiodactyla; Camelidae.